This 253-nucleotide ribosomal RNA is filed under the name uncultured bacterium. RNAcentral's name for it is "partial 16S ribosomal RNA". It matches the Rfam family "Bacterial small subunit ribosomal RNA", at positions 524 to 776 of the family's 1533-position model. The record is from RNAcentral.
UACGGAGGUCUCAAGCGUUGUUCGGAUUCAUUGGGCGUAAAGGGUGCGUAGGCGGCGCGGUAAGUCGGGUGUGAAAUUUCGAGGCUUAACUUCGAAACUGCAUUCGAUACUGCCGUGCUAGAGGACUGGAGAGGAGACUGGAAUUUACGGUGUAGCGGUGAAAUGCGUAGAUAUCGUAAGGAAGACCAGUGGCGAAGGCGGGUCUCUGGACAGUUCCUGACGCUGAGGCACGAAGGCCAGGGGAGCAAACGGG